Monodelphis domestica (gray short-tailed opossum) is the source of this 46-nucleotide non-coding RNA. NCBI's taxonomy places the organism in Eukaryota, Metazoa, Chordata, Mammalia, Didelphimorphia, Didelphidae. The record is from Rfam.
AAACAGGUUUUUCUCAAAACCAAAGAGUAAAUUCAAUGUAAUAAUA